CUCCGGCACAGCUCCCGCCCACUGCAGCUCUUCCUGACUGCUUGGAUCUCGGUUACCCCUAUGAAGCAAUUUCCUGCCUCUUUCAGGCUCAUUUCUCAACUCCCAGAUUUUUGAACAACUUAUCACUGGCAUCUUCCUUCACUCAAACAUAAAACAUACAUGUAAAAUAUUUCCCGAAACGUCUGGUGAGGGGGACUCAGAAGGGGCUAUGGGCAGAAUCACCUCAACGCGUGUUAUUUGUGACCCAACGUGUACAUCUCCACGCACACGGAGCUCAGCCACGAGGAGCAAAGGCUGUCCCGAAAUCUCACUAUUCCACAUGCUUCGGAUUGUGCCCGACUGCUGCACAUUGGAACUCCUGCUCUCCAAGCAGUAAAGAUGAAUCCGGCAGGAUCUGAUUUACUGAGCACCGCAACAUUUUCAGAGGGAAUUUCCAGGACAACAAAACCAGCCCGUGGUACUUUUAAGCACGGUGCCAUCCUUUAUUCUGUAAAUCCCCCGAGUUCGUUGUCAAUUGGCAGCUCUUCCCAGCUGCGUCCCAACGUGCCACCUUCACAACCGCUGCCUCAGCACCAGCGGCCUCCGCCGCCGCCCCAGAGACACUUCAGCACCAACAGCCUUUACCUGCGGCGCGAGGAGCGGACGGCAGAGCGGGACACGCGCUGAGGGGAGCGGCGCGAGCACCCUCCCC
Molecule: long non-coding RNA, 691 nt
Organism: Gallus gallus (chicken)
Lineage: Eukaryota; Metazoa; Chordata; Aves; Galliformes; Phasianidae
Source: Ensembl